GGACAACAAAUCAUUAACCUUCCAACCCCCGUGCUGGAAAGUCAAAUAGAAGUUAAACCCAAGACCGAUUAAGACAUUAAGUGCACGGAAAGUGGGGUGAGCUGAGUUUGCUUCUAGCACGUGUAUAAUUUGACGAAAUGGAAACGCGAGGGAGUGAAUCGUGGAAAAUCAUAAGGACCGCGAUCGUUUGUCGCGCGUGCUGAAGUUUCCAGAAUGCGGCAGGCACUACACUUCCGCUAAAUGUCGCUAUUAUUUAACAAUUUUGUUUAUAUAUGCCUUUCAUGCAGCGCACCAGAAGCCCCAGAAGCACCAGAAGGCAGCCAGCCCCAUCGCAAUGUGGAGUAUAAUUUAUGGUUACUCUGAUUCCCCCAGCGCCGUUGGGCAAACUAAAUUGUCGCCCUCGUCAGCGGCAGCUGGAAAAAAAAAUAUGAAAGAAAACAAUUACACCUGACUUAACACUUCCGUUACUUGUUACAAAAGUCGCACACGUUCCCACAGCUCACCUGGUGGCCACCCACCUGGCUAUCCACCUGUCCAGCCGAACAGGUCCAGCAGACAGAGGUAGCUGCGUGGGCGACGGCAACGCACUUUCCUUCGAGCACUUCAAAUUGUAAUUUAGCACGUACAAGGAGCAUGAUUUUCUGAGGGGCUGGGUGGAAGUUGCAUGACCUGCUUUAACAACCCCUCAUUUUAGUGCGUUUCC
Non-coding RNA from Drosophila melanogaster (fruit fly), 703 nucleotides. The record is from Ensembl. Lineage: Eukaryota; Metazoa; Arthropoda; Insecta; Diptera; Drosophilidae.